This 75-nucleotide transfer RNA is filed under the name Priestia megaterium. Its description in RNAcentral is "tRNA-Gly". It matches the Rfam family "tRNA". From Rfam's summary of the family: Transfer RNA (tRNA) molecules are approximately 80 nucleotides in length. Lineage: Bacteria; Bacillati; Bacillota; Bacilli; Caryophanales; Bacillaceae. The record is from RNAcentral.
GCGGAAGUAGUUCAGUGGUAGAACACCACCUUGCCAAGGUAGGGGUCGCGAGUUAGAACCUCGUCUUCCGCUCCA